Molecule: long non-coding RNA, 254 nt
Organism: Culex quinquefasciatus (southern house mosquito)
Lineage: Eukaryota; Metazoa; Arthropoda; Insecta; Diptera; Culicidae
Exons: 2
Source: RefSeq, a predicted model, not a curated record
UUGGGAAAACUGAGACAAUUUUUCUUGCCAUCUUUCCUAGUUUCGGCUUAAACACAACUCCUGAGAAAAAGGCUUUCUUUCGAAUCAGAACACGUUUAAAAUGAUUAGUUAACUGGAGUAGUGUGAAAAUUGUAUAUUUGUCUACUAGUAAGGUAUUGGAAUUGUGUUGUAGUUUGUUCAAAACACCUCAAGAAUACAGCUUUUUUUUUUAUAGAACUUUUGUUCACUUAAGAAAACUAAAUAAUAAAUCAAAA